RNAcentral lists this ribosomal RNA (919 nucleotides) under Yersinia pestis. RNAcentral describes it as "partial 23S ribosomal RNA". It matches the Rfam family "Bacterial large subunit ribosomal RNA", at positions 1901 to 2819 of the family's 2925-position model. The record is from RNAcentral. Lineage: Bacteria; Pseudomonadati; Pseudomonadota; Gammaproteobacteria; Enterobacterales; Yersiniaceae.
GAAGCUCUUGAUCGAAGCCCCAGUAAACGGCGGCCGUAACUAUAACGGUCCUAAGGUAGCGAAAUUCCUUGUCGGGUAAGUUCCGACCUGCACGAAUGGCGUAAUGAUGGCCAGGCUGUCUCCACCCGAGACUCAGUGAAAUUGAACUCGCUGUGAAGAUGCAGUGUACCCGCGGCAAGACGGAAAGACCCCGUGAACCUUUACUAUAGCUUGACACUGAACAUUGAGCCUUGAUGUGUAGGAUAGGUGGGAGGCCUUGAAGUGUGGACGCCAGUCUGCAUGGAGCCAACCUUGAAAUACCACCCUUUAAUGUUUGAUGUUCUAACUCGGCCCCAUGAUCUGGGGUGAGGACAGUGUCUGGUGGGUAGUUUGACUGGGGCGGUCUCCUCCCAAAGAGUAACGGAGGAGCACGAAGGUUAGCUAAUCACGGUCGGACAUCGUGAGGUUAGUGCAAAGGCAUAAGCUAGCUUGACUGCGAGAGUGACGGCUCGAGCAGGUACGAAAGUAGGUCUUAGUGAUCCGGUGGUUCUGAAUGGAAGGGCCAUCGCUCAACGGAUAAAAGGUACUCCGGGGAUAACAGGCUGAUACCGCCCAAGAGUUCAUAUCGACGGCGGUGUUUGGCACCUCGAUGUCGGCUCAUCACAUCCUGGGGCUGAAGUAGGUCCCAAGGGUAUGGCUGUUCGCCAUUUAAAGUGGUACGCGAGCUGGGUUUAGAACGUCGUGAGACAGUUCGGUCCCUAUCUGCCGUGGGCGUUGGAAGAUUGAGAGGGGCUGCUCCUAGUACGAGAGGACCGGAGUGGACGAAUCACUGGUGUUCGGGUUGUCAUGCCAAUGGCAUUGCCCGGUAGCUAAAUUCGGAAGAGAUAACCGCUGAAAGCAUCUAAGCGGGAAACUUGCCUCGAGAUGAGUCUUCCCUGGG